GAUGAACGCUGGCGGCGUGCCUAAUACAUGCAAGUCGAGCGAACAGAUGAGGAGCUUGCUCCUCUGACGUUAGCGGCGGACGGGUGAGUAACACGUGGAUAACCUACCUAUAAGACUGGGAUAACUUCGGGAAACCGGAGCUAAUACCGGAUAAUAUAUUGAACCGCAUGGUUCAAUAGUGAAAGACGGCUUUGCUGUCACUUAUAGAUGGAUCCGCGCCGCAUUAGCUAGUUGGUAAGGUAACGGCUUACCAAGGCAACGAUGCGUAGCCGACCUGAGAGGGUGAUCGGCCACACUGGAACUGAGACACGGUCCAGACUCCUACGGGAGGCAGCAGUAGGGAAUCUUCCGCAAUGGGCGAAAGCCUGACGGAGCAACGCCGCGUGAGUGAUGAAGGUCUUCGGAUCGUAAAACUCCGUUAUUAGGGAAGAACAAAUGUGUAAGUAACUAUGCACGUCUUGACGGUACCUAAUCAGAAAGCCACGGCUAACUACGUG
RNAcentral lists this ribosomal RNA (497 nucleotides) under uncultured bacterium. RNAcentral describes it as "partial 16S ribosomal RNA". It matches the Rfam family "Bacterial small subunit ribosomal RNA", at positions 28 to 507 of the family's 1533-position model. The record is from RNAcentral.